AUUAAACGCUGGCGGCAUGCCUUACACAUGCAAGUCGAACGGCAGCACGGGGGCAACCCUGGUGGCGAGUGGCGGACGGGUGAGUAAUACAUCGGAACGUGCCCUGGAGUGGGGGAUAACGCAGCGAAAGCUACGCUAAUACCGCAUAUUCUGUGAGCAGGAAAGCAGGGGAUCGCAAGACCUUGCGCUUUGGGAGCAGCCGAUGUCGGAUUAGCUAGUUGGUGGGGUAAAGGCCUACCAAGGCGACGAUCCGUAGCGGGUCUGAGAGGAUGAUCCGCCACACUGGGACUGAGACACGGCCCAGACUCCUACGGGAGGCAGCAGUGGGGAAUUUUGGACAAUGGGCGGAAGCCUGAUCCAGCCAUGCCGCGUGAGUGAAGAAGGCCUUCGGGUUGUAAAG
This 400-nucleotide ribosomal RNA is filed under the name uncultured bacterium. Its description in RNAcentral is "bacterial SSU rRNA". It matches the Rfam family "Bacterial small subunit ribosomal RNA", at positions 29 to 430 of the family's 1533-position model. The record is from RNAcentral.